Molecule: ribosomal RNA, 109 nt
Filed under: Pteropus alecto (black flying fox)
Lineage: Eukaryota; Metazoa; Chordata; Mammalia; Chiroptera; Pteropodidae
Source: RNAcentral
GUCUACAGCCAUGCUACCCUGAACAAGCCCGAUCCCAUUUGAUCUCGGAAGCUAAGCAGGAUCCGGCCUGGUUAGUACUUGCAUGGUAGACUACCUAGGAUUGUAAGCU